This 476-nucleotide ribosomal RNA is filed under the name uncultured bacterium. Its description in RNAcentral is "partial 16S ribosomal RNA". It matches the Rfam family "Bacterial small subunit ribosomal RNA", at positions 28 to 523 of the family's 1533-position model. The record is from RNAcentral.
GAUGAACGCUGGCGGCGUGCUUAACACAUGCAAGUCGAGCGAGUGAGUUCUUCGGAACGAUCUAGCGGCGGACGGGUGAGUAACACGUGGGCAACCUGCCUCAUAGAGGGGAAUAGCCUCCCGAAAGGGAAAUUAAUACCGCAUAAAAUUAUCGAGUGGCAUCACAUGAUAAUCAAAGGAGUAAUCCGCUAUGAGAUGGGCCCGCGGCGCAUUAGCUAGUUGGUGAGGUAACGGCUCACCAAGGCGACGAUGCGUAGCCGACCUGAGAGGGUGAUCGGCCACAUUGGGACUGAGACACGGCCCAGACUCCUACGGGAGGCAGCAGUGGGGAAUAUUGCACAAUGGGGGAAACCCUGAUGCAGCAACGCCGCGUGAGUGAUGAAGGUCUUCGGAUUGUAAAGCUCUGUCUUUGGGGACGAUAAUGACGGUACCCAAGGAGGGAGCCACGGCUAACUACGUGCCAGCCGCCGCAGUAA